Molecule: ribosomal RNA, 2299 nt
Filed under: Proteus mirabilis
Lineage: Bacteria; Pseudomonadati; Pseudomonadota; Gammaproteobacteria; Enterobacterales; Morganellaceae
Description: bacterial LSU rRNA
Rfam family: Bacterial large subunit ribosomal RNA
Source: RNAcentral
AGGUUAACCGUAUAGGGGAGCCGUAGGGAAACCGAGUCUUAACUGGGCGAAUGAGUUGCAGGGUAUAGACCCGAAACCCGGUGAUCUAUCCAUGGGCAGGUUGAAGGUUGGGUAACACUAACUGGAGGACCGAACCGACUAAUGUUGAAAAAUUAGCGGAUGACUUGUGGAUGGGGGUGAAAGGCCAAUCAAACCGGGAGAUAGCUGGUUCUCCCCGAAAGCUAUUUAGGUAGCGCCUCGUGAACUCAUCUUCGGGGGUAGAGCACUGUUUCGACUAGGGGGUCAUCCCGACUUACCAACUCGAUGCAAACUGCGAAUACCGAAGAAUGUUAUCACGGGAGACACACGGCGGGUGCUAACGUCCGUCGUGAAGAGGGAAACAACCCAGACCGCCAGCUAAGGUCCCAAAGUCAUGGUUAAGUGGGAAACGAAGUGGGAAGGCUCAGACAGCCAGGAUGUUGGCUUAGAAGCAGCCAUCAUUUAAAGAAAGCGUAAUAGCUCACUGGUCGAGUCGGCCCGCGCGGAAGAUGUAACGGGGCUAAACCAUGCACCGAAGCUGCGGCAGCGACACAUAGUGUUGUUGGGUAGGGGAGCGUUCUGUAAGCCUGCGAAGGUGUACUGUGAGGUAUGCUGGAGGUAUCAGAAGUGCGAAUGCUGACAUAAGUAACGAUAAUGCGGGUGAAAAACCCGCACGCCGGAAGACCAAGGGUUCCUGUCCAACGUUAAUCGGGGCAGGGUGAGUCGACCCCUAAGGCGAGGCUGAAAAGCGUAGUCGAUGGGAAACGGGUUAAUAUUCCCGUACUGGUGGUAACUGCGAUGGGGGAACGGAGAAGGCUAGGUUGUCCGGGCGACGGUCGUCCCGGUUCAAGCAGGUAGGCAGAGUGAUUAGGCAAAUCCGGUCACUUAAUGCUGAGAUGUGAUGACGAACCACCAAGGUGGUGAAGCAAUUGAUGCCCCGCUUCCAGGAAAAGCCUCUAAGCUUCAGGUUACCAACAAUCGUACCCCAAACCGACACAGGUGGUCAGGUAGAGAAUACUCAGGCGCUUGAGAGAACUCGGGUGAAGGAACUAGGCAAAAUGGUGCCGUAACUUCGGGAGAAGGCACGCUGGCGGUAGGUAAAGUCCCUUGCGGACGGCGCCCAAGCCAGUCGAAGAUACCAGCUGGCUGCAACUGUUUAUUAAAAACACAGCACUGUGCAAACACGAAAGUGGACGUAUACGGUGUGACGCCUGCCCGGUGCUGGAAGGUUAAUUGAUGGGGUUAGCGUAAGCGAAGCUCCUGAUCGAAGCCCCAGUAAACGGCGGCCGUAACUAUAACGGUCCUAAGGUAGCGAAAUUCCUUGUCGGGUAAGUUCCGACCUGCACGAAUGGCGUAAUGAUGGCCAGGCUGUCUCCACCCGAGACUCAGUGAAAUUGAACUCGCUGUGAAGAUGCAGUGUACCCGCGGCAAGACGGAAAGACCCCGUGAACCUUUACUAUAGCUUGACACUGAACAUUGAGCCUUGAUGUGUAGGAUAGGUGGGAGGCUUUGAAGUGUGGACGCCAGUCUGCAUGGAGCCAACCUUGAAAUACCACCCUUUAACGUUUGAUGUUCUAACCUAGGCCCAUAAACUGGGUCGGGGACCGUGUCUGGUGGGUAGUUUGACUGGGGCGGUCUCCUCCUAAAGAGUAACGGAGGAGCACGAAGGUUGGCUAAGCAUGGUCGGACAUCAUGCGGUUAGUGCAAAGGCAUAAGCCAGCUUGACUGCGAGAGUGACGGCUCGAGCAGGUACGAAAGUAGGUCUUAGUGAUCCGGUGGUUCUGAAUGGAAGGGCCAUCGCUCAACGGAUAAAAGGUACUCCGGGGAUAACAGGCUGAUACCGCCCAAGAGUUCAUAUCGACGGCGGUGUUUGGCACCUCGAUGUCGGCUCAUCACAUCCUGGGGCUGAAGUAGGUCCCAAGGGUAUGGCUGUUCGCCAUUUAAAGUGGUACGCGAGCUGGGUUUAGAACGUCGUGAGACAGUUCGGUCCCUAUCUGCCGUGGGCGUUGGAAGAUUGAGAGGGGUUGCUCCUAGUACGAGAGGACCGGAGUGAACGCACCACUGGUGUUCGGGUUGUCAUGCCAAUGGCAUUGCCCGGUAGCUAAGUGCGGAAGAGAUAACCGCUGAAAGCAUCUAAGCGGGAAACUUGCCUCGAGAUGAGUCUUCCCUGUCGCUUUAAGCGACCUAAAGGAACGUUUAAGACUAAGACGUUGAUAGGCUGGGUGUGUAAGCGUAGCGAUACGUUGAGCUAACCAGUACUAAUGAACCGUGAGGCUUAACC